This 26-nucleotide non-coding RNA is filed under the name Rattus norvegicus (Norway rat). The record is from RNAcentral. Lineage: Eukaryota; Metazoa; Chordata; Mammalia; Rodentia; Muridae.
UCUUGCCGUUAUUUGUGAGGAUGGAA